RNAcentral lists this long non-coding RNA (3476 nucleotides) under Volvox carteri. RNAcentral's name for it is "long non-coding RNA (VCAR_LNC002764)". The record is from RNAcentral. Lineage: Eukaryota; Viridiplantae; Chlorophyta; Chlorophyceae; Chlamydomonadales; Volvocaceae.
GUUUCCUUGUUAAAGAUUUGGUGACAACCUCGCUUUUCCUUCCUAUAUUAGGUCGUGGUGAUGGGCCUGGCUGAGGCCUACCGUGCCAACGGCGGCCCGCUGGGUGAGGGCCUGGACCCCCUGCACCCCGGUGGCGCUUUCGAUCCGCUGGGCCUGGCUGACGACCCGGACACCUUCGCUGAGCUCAAGGUCAAGGAGAUCAAGAACGGCCGCCUGGCCAUGUUCUCCAUGUUCGGCUUCUUCGUGCAGGCCAUCGUGACCGGCAAGGGCCCGAUUGAGAACCUGUCUGACCACCUGGCUAACCCCAGCGCCGUCAACGCCUUCGCCUACGCCACCAAGUUCACUCCUUCCGCGUAAAUGGUAUCCCAUCGUCUGUUGAUUCGGGAAGUUGUAUAAAGGUCGGCAGUCAUUUGCGGAUGAGCUGUCUGCUCGGAUUAACUCUUGAGCAUGAGGGUUUUGUAUCAUAUGGCGUGUGCUGGUAUAGCUCUGGACCAAUAUCCAAUAGUUUUGGUCUUGUGCUUUUAGUGACUGGAUGUAUUUUUGGCGGUUAACAAUUUCAUUGCAAACCAACUUAAAAUCCAAUCAUUUCUGUAAACAAAAUAAGCUUGUCUCGUGAUGUCAAGUUCCUUGAAAUCUGGUUUUGGCACUGUUCAUAACCUGACCUAAUUGGCAACUGUUGACCAACGGCUAUCUCAAUACAGUACGCUAGUGCAAAAUACUUCAUUCCUGUUGACAGCCAAAGUAUAUUUCCUACCAAUUUCUUAUCCCCUUAUGAACUGCUGAAUACUCGGACAAAUACUACAAAGUUGCAACGAUAUUACCUUAAACUUCUCUUUAGUACGCGGGGAAUAAGACAGAAUUUUGUGCUAUCGUCCCACUUGAGCAGAAAUCUCGUCUUCCGCCAUAAUUACUAACGAUGUUAUCUCCGACAUUUGGGCCCGUUUAACUGCAUUUGCGGCGCGGGAUUACUUGCCAAAACGUUGGGAACACGUGCCUCACAAAACCACAAAACCUUUCUUACACGUCAACAAGGCAGACAUGGUUGUUUGCCGCUUACCGAUGUACCAUAACGAGGGCUUUAGGGUUUUAGGCUCACGUCAUUAUUAGGCUCACGUCGGAGCCUAAUAAUUUUUGUAUGAGCGUACUAACUGAGGCCUUGUGAAUGCGAUUGUUACAGUGGACCCCGAACGGGUCGAGUGCAGCGUCCCUCGGAACGCCUCCCGCACAACACCGUGGGCCUUAUUCAAAAAGAACUCGACCACGCCGUACUAACUUCACUGGACAGAAGGCCGCAGUUAGUACACUCAUACAGAAAAUAUGAGGCUCUGACGUGAGCACUCAGACCUCGUCAUUGUACAUCGGUAAGCGGCAAACAGCCAUGUCUGCGUUGUUGACAUUUAAGAAAGGUUUUGUGGUGUGAGGAACGUGUUCCCAGCGUUUUGGCAAGUAAUCCCGUGGUGCAAAAGCAGUUAGACGGGCCCAAAAGUCAGAGAUAACAUCGUAAGUCAUGCGGUUAAGCGUUGACGUAGAUACGGCCAUGUUGGCCUGAAGACCUUCCCUAAACAACAAAGGCGACCGAGAUUGAGUGAGCUGAUGGCCGCGAGGCAUACAACCUCCCACACACACCCAUAAACCGAGGUCGGUGGAAUGCCCAACCACAAGUUAGCCCGGUUAAAAAGGUCUGGAAACUCUAGUUCGUUCGCCUUGUGACCAGUGAAGUUAGUACGGCCUGGCCGAGUUCCUAGGGGCGCUGCACUCGACCCGUUCGGGGUCCACUGUAACAAUCGCAUUCACCAUCACAGAACAUUAGAAACGUAAAAGUCAGCUAUCACAAAACUUCGUUGUCCAAGACAGUUUGAGUUAGCACUGGCUACGUGGUCAACUCUAUUGAAGCGUAAUAACAUAUCGGUAUCAACGCAUAUCUAUUGCAGGAGAACCACAUCGCUCCAUCUCUCGGAAAGAGACUAUCGUCGCAAGCUCCGCAGAUGUCUAUCGCGAAGCGAACCAUUCUACAAAGUAAGAUCCGUAAUACAGUUAAAUAGGCUUUAGGUUCCGAAUAUGCAUCGUGACAGCCAACACAACGCACAUCCGUGUGAGCACAAAAAGGGCCAUAAAUGUUUUAACCUUCGCGAUAAUAAAUUGGUGAUAUGUUCAUCUACUUGGAUAAAUGAAGUAAACAAGAAGUCCUAUAUGAAUCGUAACAAGGACAAUAACUGUUUCAGCAUCAAAGAAUACUCCGAGGACAAAACCAAAGUAUUACAACUUAAAAGUAUGUUACACCUGUGAUACAUUCAUCGCUUAGGAAAGGGAAGCCGUAACCCUUAGCAAAGGCAGCUCGUACAAAUCUCUGGACGUACAAUCAGUCCGAUUCCCAGGCCUUAUGAGGUCCUAUGGCAAGGUCAAAAGCCAAAGUCGCAUCGUAAAUCGUUACACAGUUGCUCCCUUCUGUGUCCAUACAUUUCAUUCAGUAAAGAUGGCCGCUAUUGCGAAGUCCGCUGUGCGCAGCUCUGUGCGCCCGACUGUUGCCAGCCGGGUGAGUCGAGAUGCCUUUGGAACGUAGCAUCUUCAUUAGUCUUCCAAAUAUGAAGCUACUUUAGUCAAUCUUAGUAACCCGAUGUUCAUAUCCGAGAACUCGGGGUCGCUUCAGUAAUCCUACAGCUCUCGGAGUGCCUCGACUUUAACUGGGGAUCUGAUCUCUUUGACCCGUUCAGGCUGCCCGCGUGGUGCAACGUGCCGCUAUCGAGUGGUAUGGCCCUGACCGCCCGAAGUUCCUGGGUAAGUUUUCGCACAACCGAUGGUGCAGCGCAUCAAUUUAUGAUAGAAGUUUCUUCGUUCCAUAGUGACAAAUUAAUAGCUUAUGCUUUUCCUUAUGUAAUAUCCUGGUGUUCCUUUGUUAUCCUCAUGUAUUCCAAAGAUUUGUUGUUGGUCAUAACCGACCCGAUCCACUCUGAUGUAGAGAUAUUAUGACUUGGAUAUGCGCCUUAUUACCUGUACUUGUUUGACUCGGUGCAGGCCCGUUCUCUGAGGGCGAUGUUCCGUCUUACCUCACCGGCGAGUUCCCUGGCGACUACGGCUGGGACACUGCUGGUCUGUCCGCCGACCCGGAGACCUUCAAGCGCUACCGUGAGCUGGAGCUCAUCCAUGCUCGUUGGGCUAUGCUUGGCGCUCUGGGCUGUGUGACCCCCGAGCUGCUGUCCAAGUACGCUGGCGUUUCGUUCGGCGAGGCUGUCUGGUUCAAGGCUGGUGCUCAGAUCUUCGCUGAGGGCGGCCUGAACUACCUGGGCAACGAGAACCUGGUUCACGCUCAGUCCAUUAUUGCCACCCUGGCUUUCCAGGUGAAUAUGUUUCUUUUAAUCACUCUACCGUUUCAUGAGCAUGAAGAGUUUGAUGUAUAAGUAGCGAAUAAUAUGCGCAGCAUCGAUUUGCUCCGUUAUGCUUUCGGGUUUUGCGUACAUUGUCUAAGAAAAUGAUGGAAG